CUUGGCGGCCAUAGCGCAGCGGACCCACCUGAAUCCAUGCCGAACUCAGAAGUGAAACGUUGUAGCGCCGAUGGUAGUGUGGGGUCUCCC
Molecule: ribosomal RNA, 90 nt
Filed under: Proteus mirabilis
Lineage: Bacteria; Pseudomonadati; Pseudomonadota; Gammaproteobacteria; Enterobacterales; Morganellaceae
Source: RNAcentral